Long non-coding RNA from Hibiscus syriacus, 214 nucleotides. RefSeq lists it as uncharacterized. NCBI's taxonomy places the organism in Eukaryota, Viridiplantae, Streptophyta, Magnoliopsida, Malvales, Malvaceae. The transcript has 3 exons. The record is from RefSeq and is a predicted model, not a curated record.
CAAAGUUCAAACGGCGGACCAAAGCUCAGGGGGACUGCCUCCGGCUGGGACUGCGGGGAAUGAGGGUGAUCAAGUCAAAGCUAAUACGGCGGAUCAAAGUUCCGGGGGAAUACCAUCAACGGAGACAGCAGGAAAAAGAGACCCCACAGGCUAAUCAAGGAGAAACACCUUUGACUGAGACUGAAGGAAAAGACACGCCACAGGGCAAUCAAGG